This 342-nucleotide long non-coding RNA is filed under the name Lathyrus oleraceus (garden pea). RNAcentral describes it as "Pisum sativum (pea) long non-coding RNA (PSAT_LNC021179)". Lineage: Eukaryota; Viridiplantae; Streptophyta; Magnoliopsida; Fabales; Fabaceae. The record is from RNAcentral.
GGGGUUCAAUCGGAGAAAAGGAAAUGUUGAGGCAUUAUCUGGAGAUGGGGUUCAAAUGGAGAAAGGGAGAUAUUGCGACAUUUUCCGGAGAACGGGGUUCACAUUGGCGAUCGUGAGUUAUCGUCAGGCGACUGGGGUUCAAACCGGAGAAUGGGGUUCAUUAUUUGGCAAACAGGAGAGUGGGGUUCAAAUGCAGUGAUCUGAGGAUCAUUUGCGCAAAAGAAAAUUUCGGGGUUCAAGAAAAUGAAAAAAAGAAGAGAAAAAUUUCGGGGUUCAAGAAAAAAAAGAAAAAGAAUAACAAUCCCGAGCGGAUGUGGUAUUCAGACCGUGGUUAUCCCUGCG